CCCUUAGACGUUCUGGGCCGCACGCGCGCUACACUGACCGGUGCAACAAGCAUCCGUCCUUGGCCGACAGGCCCGGGCAAUCUUUGAACGCCGGUCGUGAUGGGGAUAGACUUUUGCAAUUUUUAAUCUUCAACGAGGAAUUCCUAGUAAGCGCGAGUCAUCAGCUCGUGCUGAUUACGUCCCUGCCCUUUGUACACACCGCCCGUCGCUCCUACCGAUUGAGUGCUCAGGUGAAUAAUUCGGACUGCGGCAUUGACCGGUUCCCGAUCGUUGCUGCGGAAAGUUUAGUGAACCUUAUCACUUAGAGGAAGGAGAAGUCGUAACA
This 325-nucleotide ribosomal RNA is filed under the name uncultured eukaryote. RNAcentral describes it as "partial 18S ribosomal RNA". It matches the Rfam family "Eukaryotic small subunit ribosomal RNA", at positions 1470 to 1796 of the family's 1831-position model. The record is from RNAcentral.